AGAGUUUGAUCAUGGCUCAGAACGAACGCUUGCGGCGCGUUUUAAGCAUGCAAGUCGAGCGGUAAAGGUUCUUCGGAACCUUGAGAGCGGCGAACGGGUGAGUAACACGUAGGUAAUCUGCCUUCGGAUUGGGGAUAGCUCAUGGAAACAUGGGGUAAUACCGAAUAAGAGCUUUUUCACAUAUGUGAUGAAGCUGAAAGACGCUGAGGCGUCGUCCGAAGAUGAGCCUGCGGCUCAUUAGCUUGUUGGUGGGGUAACGGCCUACCAAGGCAACGAUGAGUAGCCGGCCUGAGAGGGUGACCGGCCACACUGGGACUGAGACACGGCCCAGACUCCUACGGGAGGCAGCAGCUAAGAAUCUUCCGCAAUGGGCGCAAGCCUGACGGAGCGACGCCGCGUGAACGAUGAAGGCCGGAAGGUUGUAAAGUUCUUUUAUACAUGAGGAAUAAUGCGAAGAGGGAAUGCUUUGCAGGUGACGUUAGUGUAUGAAUAAGCCCCGGCUAAUUACGUGCCAGCAGCCGCGGUAAUACGUAAGGGGCGAGCGUUGUUCGGAUUUAUUGGGCGUAAAGGGCGCGUAGGCGGUUUUGCAAGCCUGGUGUGAAAGACCUCAGCUCAACUGAGGGACCGCAUUGGGAACUGUGAGACUAGAGUGUAAGAGGGGAAGCUGGAAUUCCUAGUGUAGGGGUGAAAUCUGUAGAUAUUAGGAAGAACACCGGUGGCGAAGGCGAGCUUCUGGCUAUACACUGACGCUGAUGCGCGAAAGCGUGGGGAGCGAACAGGAUUAGAUACCCUGGUAGUCCACGCCGUAAACGUUGUGCACUAGGUGUUGGGUUGUUUAGACUCAGUGCCGUAGCUAACGCGUUAAGUGCACCGCCUGGGGAGUAUGCCGGCAACGGUGAAACUCAAAGGGAUUGACGGGGGCCCGCACAAGCGGUGGAGCAUGUGGUUUAAUUCGAUGAUACGCGAGGAACCUUACCAGGGCUUGACAUAUACAGGAAUGUUGUAGAGAUACAGCAGCCGCUUGCGGCUUGUAUACAGGUGCUGCAUGGUUGUCGUC
RNAcentral lists this ribosomal RNA (1057 nucleotides) under uncultured bacterium. Its description in RNAcentral is "bacterial SSU rRNA". It matches the Rfam family "Bacterial small subunit ribosomal RNA", at positions 8 to 1056 of the family's 1533-position model. The record is from RNAcentral.